This 253-nucleotide ribosomal RNA is filed under the name uncultured prokaryote. Its description in RNAcentral is "partial 16S ribosomal RNA". It matches the Rfam family "Bacterial small subunit ribosomal RNA", at positions 524 to 776 of the family's 1533-position model. The record is from RNAcentral.
GACGUAGGGAGCGAGCGUUGUCCGGAUUCAUUGGGCGUAAAGGGUGCGUAGGUGGCGCGCUAAGUCGGGUGUGAAAUCUCGGGGCUUAACUCCGAAACUGCAUUCGAUACUGGCGUGCUUGAGGACUGGAGAGGAGACUGGAAUUCAUGGUGUAGCAGUGAAAUGCGUAGAGAUCAUGAGGAAGACCAGUGGCGAAGGCGGGUCUCUGGACAGUUCCUGACACUGAGGCACGAAGGCCAGGGGAGCAAACGGG